GGCCUGAUGGUCUAGUAGUAUGAUUCCUUGUUAGGGUUAUGUACGUUGGUAUAGCUUUUCGAGGAGGUCCCGGGUUCAAUUCCCGGUCAGGCCC
Non-coding RNA from Armillaria novae-zelandiae, 94 nucleotides. The record is from the annotation of a GenBank genome assembly. NCBI's taxonomy places the organism in Eukaryota, Fungi, Basidiomycota, Agaricomycetes, Agaricales, Physalacriaceae.